Molecule: long non-coding RNA, 1163 nt
Organism: Venturia canescens
Lineage: Eukaryota; Metazoa; Arthropoda; Insecta; Hymenoptera; Ichneumonidae
Exons: 4
Source: RefSeq, a predicted model, not a curated record
CGCUUAGGCAAUGUCGUAAUAAUUCCUCGUGUUUCUCUCCCCACCCCGCUUGCCACCCUGCUAUCGUUCGACCGAGGUUAAAUCGCCGACGGUUUGUCGACAUGCACGACCGAGUCGCGUAAUAACUUUCGUUAUCGUACGAACCGAGAGUACCGGCGGGGUAGCCAUGAAUCACGUGAGCGUCCUGCGAUCUCGCUUUUCUCUCUCUUUCGCUCUCUUUCCCUCUCUUUCUCUCUCUCUCGGUGCACAUAUAGUCCUGAUAGUCGUAUGCAAUAUACAAGCGCCAUUUUGCACGUGAAGCUUUAAAUAUAAAGAGGCUUUCGCGCGAUAACUGACGAUCAAUUUAGUUACUGGAAUCUUUAGUAUUCAUCUUUGUCGCUAUUUGGCGUAAAAAGCGAAAUUACUAAGAAUGAGCUCUCCUGCAAUGCCAGUGUCAAAUACUUACGACAAUGAGCCUGUUCAAAAUACUCGUACAUUUCAAGGCGAAAUAACAAUCACAAAGUAACCAGGAGUAAUUCAAUCAUCGUUUAAUUUAUACUGAGCGAUAUGUAGCGCUAAAUCAAUACGGUUUGUCAAACCAAUGGCAUGGAUGUGAAGUGUGUACACAGAAGAACUCCAACUCAGUAUUCGCGUCGUUUCAUUAUGAAUCUGAACGUUAGUGAAUCGUUUAGUACAGAGGAAUGUGUCCCGGACUCUACAGAGGUUGGAAUCCAGCCCGCGUGCAAUCAUUCCGCCCUGUGACACCAACAAAUUCGCAAUGGAAGCAUCCAUAUAUGUUAACCUCGAGCCAAUGAGGUUCUCGAUGGCUUCUAACGGACAAAAGAUCGGAUCGAAUCAAGUUCAUUGGAGCUAAGAAAAAACGGCUUGAUCGAUGUCCUGAGAGUGUGUUUCCAGAAAACUUUCUUCACUGAGAUGGAAGGAAGGAAGGUAGAAAAUUCUGCACGGGAUACUGACAUCAGAUUGAUAUAUUUUAAGGUUUCAUCAAAUUUAGUAAAGCCGACAUCAGAUGAUAUUGCAAUACUUGUACCGAUAAUGUUUUUUUUACAAUUUCCUCUUUUCUGUCAAACAAUAUACUCAAGAUACUGUUAUACGGUAUGACGUGGAAAUAUUUGAUAAUAGUUUGCUGACCCAGAUACCAAAUAUAAAUAAAAAAUCAAUUCAUU